Salvelinus sp. IW2-2015 is the source of this 951-nucleotide non-coding RNA. NCBI's taxonomy places the organism in Eukaryota, Metazoa, Chordata, Actinopteri, Salmoniformes, Salmonidae. The record is from RefSeq and is a predicted model, not a curated record.
UCCUUUCACUAAGUCGCUAACGCUCCCCAUCAGCUAACAUGUUUCCUUUCACUAAGUCGCUAACGCUCCCCAUCAGCUAACAUGCCAAGACCCAUCGCAGGAGGCUGUCAAUGUUUCCAUAGGGAUGAGAAAACACAGCAGCCAGUCAGACUCCAACAGCACUAAGGCUACACUGCUCUUUAAUUAGCUCAUCCUGCAGGACUUAGUGAGAGGAAGUGGACAUUUGAUACGUUGAUGCCAGUUCCAAGGCUGAUUGCAAAAUAACAGAGAAAGAUAGAAUCAUGUGGGGGUCGAAUAGUCUUAAGUCAAGAGGAAAUUCAGCAACUCUUGGAGAAUGGUGGAAGUUAAUCAAAGUGCUUUAUUGUUGAGUCAAAAGCAAUGUGUUUUGGCCCAUUUUAGCUUUCAUCAGGGUUUCAGGUCAAAUGAUCUUAAAUUUAGUUUGCACUAGAUCUGUAGUUGGAUAGACAUUAAAGGUCUGGAGCUCUGGAUCUUCUGCCCAGGAUGUUCCUUAACAUAACUUACCUAGCCUCUAAACCAGCCCUUUGUUUCCCCAACAGGUCUUUAAAGUUUACCUCUAAACCCAGCCCCUUUGUUUCCCCAGCAGGUCUUUAAAGUUUACCUCUAAACCAGCCCCUUUGUUUCCCCAGCAGGUCUUUAAAGUUUACCUCUAAACCAGCCCCUUUGUUUCCCCAGGUCUUUAAAGGUGAAUUUCAGCUACCUGAGUUUCUAAGAGAACAUUCUCAGCUUCAGAAGACUCCAGAAAAACCAACCCCAGUUAGGAGGAGCAGCCAACACGCCACACAGACAAGACGAGGCACCGAUGGACAGACAUCCAAUAGACUCACCACCACUUUUUGGGGACCUCAGUACUCUUCCAUGGACACACACACAAACACAUACGCUAUAUAUACAAAAGUAUGUGGACAUCGUUUCAAAUUAGUGGAUUCUGCU